This 340-nucleotide long non-coding RNA is filed under the name Gallus gallus (chicken). RNAcentral's name for it is "long non-coding RNA NONGGAT004240". The record is from RNAcentral. Lineage: Eukaryota; Metazoa; Chordata; Aves; Galliformes; Phasianidae.
CCCCUCCGCAUCUACAGCACGCAGAGUUGUUACGUGAGGGCUCCGGGGUUGGCAAACGGCAGAGAUACACAUUUUGCACCCACGGGAAAAGAAAGGGGGGCAAUGGGGGGAGAGCAGAGCAAACGCACCGCGUCAGCAGCGCGCUGCUGGGAACGAGCCGAGCCUCUGACGUCACGUAACCCCCAUUCACAUCAACCGGCCCCGAAGUGUGACGCUCAGUGUCCGGAGCCUUCGGACAGAACCACCCGCACCCCUCAGCCCAGCGGGGGCCGAAGUUGGGGCAGCUCUGUUGUCGGUGUAUUUCGGGGGGAGGGGGGGGAUGAAUGGGUUUAAUCGGAAG